CCCUUAGAUGUUCUGGGCCACACGCGCGCUACACUGAUGAAUUCAACGAGCCUAGCCUUGUCCGAAAGGUCCGGGUAAUCUCUGAAACUUCAUCGUGAUGGGGAUAGAUCAUUGCAAUUAUUGAUCUUCAACGAGGAAUUCCUAGUAAGCGCAAGUCAUCAGCUUGCGUUGAUUACGUCCCUGCCCUUUGUACACACCGCCCGUCGCUUGUACCGAUUGGAUGGUCCGGUGAAAUCUUCAGAUAGCUGGUAGUUGGCUUGCCAUCUACUGCUAAAAGUUGCUUAAACCUUAUCAUCUAGAGGAACAAGAAGUCGUAACA
This 319-nucleotide ribosomal RNA is filed under the name uncultured eukaryote. RNAcentral's name for it is "partial 18S ribosomal RNA". It matches the Rfam family "Eukaryotic small subunit ribosomal RNA", at positions 1470 to 1796 of the family's 1831-position model. The record is from RNAcentral.